Molecule: non-coding RNA, 1501 nt
Organism: Cajanus cajan (pigeon pea)
Lineage: Eukaryota; Viridiplantae; Streptophyta; Magnoliopsida; Fabales; Fabaceae
Source: RefSeq, a predicted model, not a curated record
CUCUCCACGUUUUAGGGUUCACUCAUUCAUUCUCUUUUUUUUGCAAGUCAAAGAAUUUUCUCCUAAUGCGAGACGAACAAACGCCAAACUCUCAUUCUCUUUUGUCUUCCCCGACAAAUUUCAAAGUCCAAGAGAGAAAUGUGACUUCUACGGCUACAAUUGUGGUGGCGAAGGCAUAACUUCAAAAAAAGUUGGAACCCUAAAAAUUUCUUGAAUGUUUGAGAAGGUAGAUUUGGAAGGGAAAACCAACCACGAUUUGGAAGGGAACGGAGGCAGUGGCGGUGAUGGAGAUUAUCGCGGUGGCGGAGAAAGACGCGGAGUUGAGGAAAUCGGCGUUCAAGCCAAACUCACCUGCUUGCAAGGCCGUUGUGGAUCAAGUGGUGAAGAUAAUCGAGAAAGCGGAUUCGAAGCUUCUGGUUCCUCUUGGUUUGUAUUUAAUCCUUAAGUACAUCUCUGUACCAUCUGGCCUUGUGCAACUACUCUGCCUCUAUGGAUAUUCCCUAUUUGUCUUUAUUUCGACUCUGGUGAGUUACUGCUCUUCAAAUUUUCUUUCAAGAAAUUAUUAGGUUAUCUUGAACUAUAUGAUCUUUAAAUAUUCUCUAUAUAAUAUGUAAUCAAGUGUAAUUAUUAUUUCCUUGUAAAUUGUAUGAUGAAGUUAAUGAUUUUACAGGCUUAACAUCAAUAUGCAUAAUAAAUAAAUUACAUCACAAGUGUCUCAAUACUAACCAAUAGCUAUAACAAGGUUGACCAGUGCAGUUUUCCAUAUAUGAAGGUAUUGCUUAAAAAACAUAUAAAACACUAGAUACACAUCACCCCAUUAUCAAAGACUUAAGUGUAAGUUGGCAUUGUUAGUAUGGAUUUUGUUGAUUAACAGCAGUUCCUAUAUUUUUUAUUUUUAUCAAGUUUUCUGAUCGUUUGCACACAAAACAUGUACACUUUCGUCGUAGUGUGAUGGUAAGAAAGGGAAGAAUUGAGAGCCACAUUUGAGAGAAGAUGUCAAAUUGCAAUUUUUGUUCUGGGUGGGUUGUGAGCAUCUUUAAAUCAAUAUAGAUCAAUGUAAAACACGAUAAAAUGAUAUUUUACUCCCUGUAGAAACGUGAAACACUUUUAGAGAGGUUGUGGGUAUCUUCAAUCAGUAUUAUCUUUUUUUGUGCAAGUAUUCAAUUAUAAAAGAGUUGUUGUUGAGUCUACUUAAUUGGCAAUUCUUGUUGAUAAACUGGUGUUCCCUUCCAAGUCACAUAAUAAGGGAAGUGGAAAAGAGACAAAAUAUUCUAAAUUAAUAUUCUGAAUCACAUAAAUCACUUUAUGAUGAGAUUCAGAUACUUCAGGGUAGACUUGAUCGAAACCCUGAAGUUACUCGGUUUGCUGUGGAGAGAGAUUCUUUUGACUAAAGUGUCUUCUUUGAGGGAACAGUUGCUUCAGUACCAUGGAAGAAACUCGAUACAGGGUAAUUCAAAUCAUGAUAUUGAACCUCAGGUCAGUCUUUAAUUACCUGAAGCAG